AUUGAACGCUGGCGGCAUGCCUUACACAUGCAAGUCGAACGGUAACAGGUCUUCGGAUGCUGACGAGUGGCGAACGGGUGAGUAAUACAUCGGAACGUGCCUAGUAGUGGGGGAUAACUACUCGAAAGAGUGGCUAAUACCGCAUGAGAUCUACGGAUGAAAGCAGGGGAUCGCAAGACCUUGUGCUACUAGAGCGGCCGAUGGCAGAUUAGGUAGUUGGUGGGAUAAAAGCUUACCAAGCCGACGAUCUGUAGCUGGUCUGAGAGGACGAUCAGCCACACUGGGACUGAGACACGGCCCAGACUCUUACGGGAGGCAGCAGUGGGGAAUUUUGGACAAUGGGCGAAAGCCUGAUCCAGCAAUGCCGCGUGCAGGAUGAAGGCCUUCGGGUUGUAAACUGCUUUUGUACGGAACGAAAAGCCCCGGGUUAAUACCCUGGGGUCAUGACGGUACCGUAAGAAUAAGCACCGGCUGACUACGUGCCAGCAGCCGCCGUAA
This 498-nucleotide ribosomal RNA is filed under the name uncultured bacterium. RNAcentral's name for it is "partial 16S ribosomal RNA". It matches the Rfam family "Bacterial small subunit ribosomal RNA", at positions 30 to 523 of the family's 1533-position model. The record is from RNAcentral.